This 468-nucleotide ribosomal RNA is filed under the name uncultured bacterium. RNAcentral's name for it is "partial 16S ribosomal RNA". The stretch from base 20 to 329 matches the Rfam family "Bacterial small subunit ribosomal RNA", at positions 47 to 358 of the family's 1533-position model. The record is from RNAcentral.
GACGAACGCUGGCGGCGUGCUUAACACAUGCAAGUCGAACGGAAAGGCCCUGCUUUUGUGGGGUGCUCGAGUGGCGAACGGGUGAGUAACACGUGAGUAACCUGCCCUUGACUUUGGGAUAACUUCAGGAAACUGGGGCUAAUACCGGAUAGGAGCUCCUGCUGCAUGGUGGGGGUUGGAAAGUUUCGGCGGUUGGGGAUGGACUCGCGGCUUAUCAGCUUGUUGGUGGGGUAGUGGCUUACCAAGGCUUUGACGGGUAGCCGGCCUGAGAGGGUGACCGGGCAGAGGGGGAGGGAGGUGACGCCCAGAGCGGAGGCGGAAGGAGGAGGGGGGGAGAGAGGAAGGGGGGCGGGAGCGUGAUGCAGGAGCGCCGCGGGGGGGAAGACGGGCGUGGGGGUGGAGAGCGAUGCAGAAGGGGAAGAAAAGGGAGUGGAGGGAAAGGGUAAAGAAACACCGGCUAACUACGUG